This 495-nucleotide ribosomal RNA is filed under the name uncultured bacterium. Its description in RNAcentral is "partial 16S ribosomal RNA". It matches the Rfam family "Bacterial small subunit ribosomal RNA", at positions 30 to 507 of the family's 1533-position model. The record is from RNAcentral.
UGAACGCUGGCGGCGUGCCUAAUACAAGCAAGUCGAGCGAACAGACGAGGAGCUUGCUCCUCUGACGUUAGCGGCGGACGGGUGAGUAACACGUGGAUAACCUACCUAUAAGACUGGGAUAACUUCGGGAAACCGGAGCUAAUACCGGAUAAUAUAUUGAACCGCAUGGUUCAAUAGUGAAAGACGGUUUUGCUGUCACUUAUAGAUGGAUCCGCGCCGCAUUAGCUAGUUGGUAAGGUAACGGCUUACCAAGGCAACGAUGCGUAGCCGACCUGAGAGGGUGAUCGGCCACACUGGAACUGAGACACGGUCCAGACUCCUACGGGAGGCAGCAGUAGGGAAUCUUCCGCAAUGGGCGAAAGCCUGACGGAGCAACGCCGCGUGAGUGAUGAAGGUCUUCGGAUCGUAAAACUCUGUUAUUAGGGAAGAACAAAUGCGUAAGUAACUAUGCACGUCUUGACGGUACCUAAUCAGAAAGCCACGGCUAACUACGUG